AUCGAACGCUGGCGGCAGGCCUAACACAUGCAAGUCGAACGAACCUUUCGGGGUUGGUGGCGGACGGAGGGGUAACCCGUUGGGACGUGCCUUUAGGUUCGGAAUGACUCAGGGGAACUUGUGCUAAUACCGAAUCUGCUCUUGGGGGGGAAGAUUGAGCGCCUUUAGAGCGGCCCGCGUCUGAUUACCUAGUUGGUUGUGGUAAUGGCUCACCAAGGCGACGAUCGGUAAGUGGUCUGAGAGGAUGAUCAGCCACAUUGGGACUGAGGCACGGCCCAAACUCCUGCGGGAGGCAGCAGUGGGGAAUCUUGCGCAAUGGGGGAAAGCAUGACGCAGCCAGGCCGCGUGAAUGAUGAAGGUCGUAGGAUUGUAAAAUUCUUUCACCGGGGACGAUAAUGACGGUACCCGGAGAAGAAGCCCCGGCUAACUUCGUG
RNAcentral lists this ribosomal RNA (434 nucleotides) under uncultured bacterium. Its description in RNAcentral is "partial 16S ribosomal RNA". It matches the Rfam family "Bacterial small subunit ribosomal RNA", at positions 30 to 507 of the family's 1533-position model. The record is from RNAcentral.